CAGGGAGACAACAAAAUGUUAAAUAUUAAUUUUGUCACCUUAGGUCGAUCGGUAUCUCACAUUCUUAAACUAAUUAAGGAUUUCAUUUCCUAAGUUUUUCUAGGUCACACCCAUUACUUUUCCUGGGCCAUUAGCUCAGGUGGUUAGAGCGCACCCCUGAUAAGGGUGAGGUCCCUGGUUCAAGUCCAGGAUGGCCCAUAUCUCUAUGUUGGGGGUAUAGCUCAGUUGGUAGAGCGCCUGCUUUGCAAGCAGGAUGUCAGCGGUUCGAGUCCGCUUACCUCCACUGAUUACCACCUCUUCCAUAAUUUAAGGAAAUGUUUUGAGUUGUGAUCAGAUUCUGAAUGAAUCUAGCUUCCUAAUAAAAAUUAUUAAGAUGCUGGACUCAUUGAAUUAAUUUCAUUGAUUUCAGAGAACCUUGACAACUGCAUAGAUUAUUUUUAAAGACAAUAAGCAUCUCUAAUGAUGCAGAUUUAUUAUUUGUGCGAAUGCAUUAAUAACAAUUCUAUUGAGCUGAUGCUUCAA
Molecule: transfer RNA, 522 nt
Filed under: uncultured Prochlorococcus sp.
Lineage: Bacteria; Bacillati; Cyanobacteriota; Cyanophyceae; Synechococcales; Prochlorococcaceae
Description: partial 16S-23S ribosomal RNA intergenic spacer
Rfam family: tRNA (bases 211-283)
Source: RNAcentral